GGGGGCGCACUGGUUUCGACGGGGACGUGGAAGCCGUAGCGGCAGGUCGAGGCGCCGCUGGCCUCGUAAAAAGCGGCACAAAAGUAAUUGCCAACAACGAUUACGACUACGCUUACGCUGCCUAAUAACAGCGAGGCAAUGACCGUUUAACGGUCGCGCCGAUCAGGGCCAUGCCUGAUAACCCUGAUUGGCGACACUUAUCAGGCUGGCGAAAACCGGCUCUCGCCGGGGUUUUUCGCGAGGAGUUUACCGGCGGGAUUGCUGCGUUGUGCCUGGUCAGGGGCCAACAGCGCGGUGAAAUACAUACUUGACCUAAACCUGUAGAUGCUUCGUGUGGAAUGUUCUCGGACGGGGGUUCGAUUCCCCCCGCCUCCACCA
Molecule: transfer-messenger RNA, 378 nt
Filed under: Desulfovibrio desulfuricans
Lineage: Bacteria; Pseudomonadati; Thermodesulfobacteriota; Desulfovibrionia; Desulfovibrionales; Desulfovibrionaceae
Also listed under: 4 other names
Rfam family: transfer-messenger RNA
About the family: Bacterial tmRNA, also known as 10Sa RNA or SsrA, is named for its dual tRNA and mRNA-like properties. Its role is to liberate the mRNA from a stalled ribosome.
Source: RNAcentral